RNAcentral lists this transfer RNA (76 nucleotides) under Candidatus Babelota bacterium. RNAcentral describes it as "tRNA-Lys". It matches the Rfam family "tRNA". Rfam says of the family: Transfer RNA (tRNA) molecules are approximately 80 nucleotides in length. Their secondary structure includes four short double-helical elements and three loops (D, anti-codon, and T loops). The record is from RNAcentral.
GAGCCGCUAGCUCAGUCGGUAGAGCAACAGCCUUUUAAGCUGUGGGUCACAGGUUCGAUCCCUGUGCGGCUCACCA